UCCCCGUUCACCGGGGCAGUCCCCUCAGAGUGCCCGGCAUAACCCGGUAGCAACAGAGGGCGAGGGUUGCGCUCGUUGCGGGACUUAACCCAACAUCUCACGACACGAGCUGACGACAGCCAUGCAGCACCUGUGCGCAGGCCCCGAAGGGAGGAUGACUUUCAUCACCUGUCCUGCACAUGUCAAACCCAGGUAAGGUGGGGAUGACGUUAGUCAGUCAAAG
Molecule: unclassified non-coding RNA, 223 nt
Filed under: uncultured bacterium
Lineage: Bacteria
Description: contains 16S-23S intergenic spacer region
Source: RNAcentral